This 301-nucleotide ribosomal RNA is filed under the name uncultured bacterium. RNAcentral describes it as "partial 16S ribosomal RNA". It matches the Rfam family "Bacterial small subunit ribosomal RNA", at positions 509 to 807 of the family's 1533-position model. The record is from RNAcentral.
CAGUCGCCACGGUAAUACGUAGGGCGCAAGCGUUGUCCGGAAUUAUUGGGCGUAAAGAGCUCGUAGGCGGUCUGUCGCGUCUGGUGUGAAAUCCCGAGGCUCAACCUCGGGCUUGCAUCGGGUACGGGCAGACUAGAGUGCGGUAGGGGAGACUGGAAUUCCUGGUGUAGCGGUGGAAUGCGCAGAUAUCAGGAGGAACACCGAUGGCGAAGGCAGGUCUCUGGGCCGCAACUGACGCUGAGGAGCGAAAGCAUAGGGAGCGAACAGGAUUAGAUACCCCGGUAGUCCCUGUCUCUUAUAC